Molecule: long non-coding RNA, 726 nt
Filed under: Mytilus galloprovincialis (Mediterranean mussel)
Lineage: Eukaryota; Metazoa; Mollusca; Bivalvia; Mytilida; Mytilidae
Source: RNAcentral
AACAAGCUUAUAGCCGCUUACAAGAUGUUCCGUCAGAUGCUGUAAUUGAUACUUUGACAGAAAAGAACCUGAUUGGUGAUUGCGUUGUUCACUUAGGACUUUAAUUGUGUCUUAGCAUUGGGAACAUUAGGAGUACUUUUUACAAUUUUCCUAGGGAUGUGAAUGGUCAGGUUCAUGAUCUUCUCAUUAAAUGGAAGAAUUGCAAUGAAUCCAAGAUGCUGAAACUAACAGUAUACCGACUUAUGGUAGCUCUAAAACAUAUUAAAGCAGCGAAAGGACUUAAUUUUGUGGAGAAAACAUAUGGUGUGGAAAAACACCUGAUAUGUUGUAUGUUGUGUAAAAGAAGAUAACAAAACAUGUGUAAAAGUAGUAAGCAAAUAUGACUGGUACAAAAUAGUCUAUUGAUUCAUAGACAAUAGCUAGAAGUAAAUUUAUGUUCUGCUUCCCUAUAAUUAUUUGAUGAUCAAAGGGUCUGUAAACAGAUGAUGCAAUCACGUUUUUUAGUAUUGCGAGUGAGAAAGUUCAAAUUCUACAUAAUAAACAAAAGCAACGUACGCUAGUGGCUUCAUUUAAUUCAAUUAUAUAAUGAACAAUACGUUCUAUAAGCAAGGACAGUUUUUCAUUCAUACUACUUCGAAAAUUAUGGAACCAAAAAAGACUACCAUUUUCGCCAAUUAUGUAAAUAACUAUUUCAACGUCAAACAAGAUAAAUUUAUAGAAACAAAC